Molecule: ribosomal RNA, 301 nt
Filed under: uncultured bacterium
Lineage: Bacteria
Description: partial 16S ribosomal RNA
Rfam family: Bacterial small subunit ribosomal RNA
Source: RNAcentral
CAGCCGCCGCGGGAAUACGUAGGGUGCAAGCGUUAAUCGGAAUUACUGGGCGUAAAGCGUGCGCAGGCGGUGUUGUAAGACUGAUGUGAAAUCCCCGGGCUCAACCUGGGAACUGCAUUGGUGACUGCAACGCUGGAGUGCGGCAGAGGGGGAUGGAAUUCCGCGUGUAGCAGUGAAAUGCGUAGAUAUGCGGAGGAACACCGAUGGCGAAGGCAAUCCCCUGGGCCUGCACUGACGCUCAUGCACGAAAGCGUGGGGAGCAAACAGAAUUAGAUACCCGCGUAGUCCCUGUCUCUUAUAC